Molecule: RNA transcript, 3203 nt
Organism: Cylas formicarius (sweet potato weevil)
Lineage: Eukaryota; Metazoa; Arthropoda; Insecta; Coleoptera; Brentidae
Gene name: enoyl-CoA delta isomerase 2
Exons: 5
Source: RefSeq, a predicted model, not a curated record
CAUUUUGCUAUCGUUGUGCACGUUGUUUUAUUUAAUGGCGGCGAUAUCUAACAUUAUUCAUGAUGAUUGUGUGGAGGUGUAUCUUCGAAACAAAAAAGGUAUAUCUUUUGCACACCUCUAUAGUUUAACAGACAACACGUUAACAUGAAAAGUGGCGGCCAAAGGCGAAAGUGUUAAUAAAAAAUAUACUUUCACAAAAAUAUUCGGCCCCUAUCUAACCUAAGAAGAAUUAUUCAAAGAUGUUAUGAAAUCCAAAUUAUUACAUUUUAUUAAUGGGAGGGAUGCAACUGUAUUUGCAUACGGUGCCUCGGGAUCUGGUAAAACAUUUACAAUGGUUGGGACCGAAAAUGCGCCUGGUGUAAUACCUAGAGCAUUUGAAUACCUGUUUCGUAGUUUGCCCAUAUUACGUGAAGAUCCCAAAGCAAAACCGUUGCCAAAUGGGACAGUAAUGGAGCUUAGCGCUUUGCAGAGCGAAGAAGAGAAGAGGAAGAAGCAACGCUAUUUGUUCCAGUCCGCAAAUUGCCAGAGGGAGAUGGGAUGAUUCGCAGUAUUGAAGAGCAACCAACGAGCAAUAGCGAUUUGAAACUUGGACUGCCUGAACAAUUGUCAAGUUAAGUUAAUUAAAUCCUUAUAUCUUUGAGAAUUGAAAAUUUUACUUAACAUUUGCCGUUUUCCAGUCGGGCUUACAGUAGUGGGGCACCUAUAUUAUCUAAUAGCUAUAUGGUCAAGCCCCUAAAUAUCCAAAUGAGUUUGAAAUGAGAGAAUGGUGACGACAUGGGCGACCGGAAGAAUUAAUAAUUAUCUAGGAAUGCUCUGGUACCACAACAAAUUUAACAGUAGAUUUUGACAACUUGGUUAUGAAAAUUGGUAUUUUAUCCAAUGGAAUAAUUUUUACAAUAUAAAAAAUUAUUUGAGGUUUUGGGUUGUGGCGUCGUCAUACAUAAUGAAUCUUCUUUCUUUAAUAGACGUGUAUGGUCGGUUACAUUAGGCAGUACAGUAGAGACUUGAUAAUCCGGACUAAUUAAAGUAAGGGCUAACUCAAACUAUAAUAUACAUACAUGAUGAAAAACAGUAAACGGGUAAACUUCAUUCUCAAAGUCUCAUCAAAACAAAUAUAAUGUAGGUAAGAAUAACUAUAUCAAAUGUUACAUUAUUUAAAAUAUUUAAAUAUUUUACUUUGCCUUUUAAGUGAAAUAAUUGAAGAAUGCUUAACUAUACCUUUUUGUUAUAAUAUUUUAAUUUAGAGAAAAUUUUCUCCAGCAAUUCUAAUGUAAAUGUCUGAAGCUUCAUGUUCAAGAUCGCCAUUCUCUAAGACAUUCUCUGCAUUUUCCAACCACAGUCAAUUUGUGUCAGCAGUUUAGAGGAAUUAAUUUUAGUCAUAAUCAGGUAAAUUGCCGGUUUGUGGUCACUUUCUGCUAUGGCAUAUAGAGUAAACUGCAUCAAUAAGAUUUAUCCUCUUAAUGCAGACCUUUCUGAUAAUACAGCUAGAAUAAUCUGAUAGCAUUUUGAUCCAUAGGUUGGAUGAAAACUGUACAGGAUUUCUAAACUACAUAGAGCAAAAUCGACUUACUUAACAUGGCCGAGAUAUAGGGCGGUUGCCAAUUUUCGGCCCUUCAGAAAAUUGCCCAUAACUUUUUUAUUUAUGAAAAUUUUGAAAUGGGAUAAAAACAUUAUUAAGGCAUUCUUUAAGGCAAAUGCAGUGGCGUACUCAGAUUAUGUCUACAUUUCUCCGUUUUCUCAUAAAUAAAUACAAUUUUCUUAUUUUAUAUGAUAAUCAUAGUUGACUGUAGGCUUAAAUUAGUGUUCGUGGCGAGCCUUUUCAGCUAUAGCAACCUUUAAAAACACGAAACUUACGAAUCAUUCAAUAUUUUAAUUUUAGAUAUUUUUAAUAUUUUAAUAUUUCAGAUUAUUUAGAAAACAAAAUUAUAUUUAUUUUAAUCUAAUAAACACAACAGUAAAUAUUAGAAUACAAAAUCUUAAAAUUUAUCCUUUAGCAUUAAUUAUAUUGAAAUAUUUUAAAGCAAAUGUUCAAAUUGGGCGCCGCCCUCUUCAAUACACUGGGCGCACCUUUUUCGUACUGACUGGCAACUAUUUACUAACUUUGUAUAGGAUUGAUGGAAGGAGACGCUUUGGUUUGGAAAAUUCUGUCUUUAAAGAUAAAAUCUUUUAUUCUUACCCAUAAAAAAAUCUAGACGAGUUAGAUCACACGAUCUCGCAGGCCACACAAUAGUUCACUUACAAUCGUCUUGCUGAUAACAAAAACUCAGUCCAAGAAUUAAUGGCACGUCUUCUAAAACUGGCUGUCAGAUUUUCAUUAAAAAAAUAAGGUCUGACAAAUCUACCUCAGGAAAUUGCUACGCAUAGCGAAAGGAACUGUUUCUGUUAAAUAUUCCGGAACGCUUCAUGACUCGAAACAAUAGACAAUGGAAAAUUAAUUUUCUCAUUGCAUUAUUUGUGACAGAACACAAAAUUCAGUAAAGAAUAAAAGUUAUGUGCUUAACUGAUAUUGACAGCUACAUGCACGGCCUACUAAUACGUAAAUAAUACAUAAACAAAUCUAUGUGGCCGAAAAGGAGUCAACACUGGCAUUUUUUAAAGACCAUAGACAACUACAAUUGCCAUACAAAAUAAAAAAGUAUAUAAUUAUGAGAAAACGGAGAACUGUAGAAAGGAUUGCCCUAACAAUGUUUUUAUCCAAAUCCAAAAAUAAAUUACAAAGUUAUGAUCAAUUUUCAAAAUUGAAAACGCCCUAUAUCUCGGUUGGUAGUGGAAGAUAUCGCCAUGCGGUUUUAAGUAAGUUAAGUAUGGUGAAAAAUUUUCCGUCUUCAUUAUCAAUCAAGCAUUUCCCGAAAGUUGUUGGUCUUUUAAGUUGUUUGCAAAACGAUAUGUCAAAGCAAUCCUUAAAAAUGGUAGAAAACAUCCAUGCGUUACUACUAGUAAAAUUUGGUUCUUGGAUGCCCUUGAUAAACCCACGUCUUUUUUUUUUAAUGAAGAAACCAGCCUCUACUUGCCACAAAUGCACCUUUUUAUAAAUGUUCUGGGAUAGUUCUCGAGCUACAAUAUAAUACAAUACAGAAUACAAUUUUAUUUCCUUUUCUGGAUGUUCUGCUUGCUGUAAAGUUUUAGUCCUGAAUGGUUAAUUCCAAUAAAUCCAAAAUAUUGAAGAGUAAGGUAUUAUUAUCAAACAGCGUGUUGCAGAAGGA